Molecule: ribosomal RNA, 529 nt
Filed under: uncultured bacterium
Lineage: Bacteria
Description: partial 16S ribosomal RNA
Rfam family: Bacterial small subunit ribosomal RNA
Source: RNAcentral
UAGGGAAUCUUGCGCAAUGGGCGAAAGCCUGACGCAGCCAUGCCGCGUGAAUGAUGAAGGUCUUAGGAUUGUAAAAUUCUUUCACCGGGGAAGAUAAUGACGGUACCCGGAGAAGAAGCCCCGGCUAACUUCGUGCCAGCAGCCGCGGUAAUACGAAGGGGGCUAGCGUUGCUCGGAAUUACUGGGCGUAAAGGGCGCGUAGGCGGAUGUUUAAGUCGGGGGUGAAAGCCCGGGGCUCAACCUCGGAAUUGCCUUCGAUACUGGACAUCUUGAGUACGGGAGAGGUGAGUGGAACUCCGAGUGUAGAGGUGAAAUUCGUAGAUAUUCGGAAGAACACCAGUGGCGAAGGCGACUCACCGGCCCGUUACUGACGCUGAGGCGCGAAAGCGUGGGGAGCAAACAGGAUUAGAUACCCUGGUAGUCCACGCCGUAAAACGAUGAGUGCUAGUUGUCGGCAUGCAUGCAUGUCGGUGACGCAGCUAACGCAUUAAGCACUCCGCCUGGGGAGUACGGUCGCAAGAUUAAAACU